This 1324-nucleotide ribosomal RNA is filed under the name metagenome. RNAcentral describes it as "bacterial LSU rRNA". It matches the Rfam family "Bacterial large subunit ribosomal RNA", at positions 1561 to 2925 of the family's 2925-position model. The record is from RNAcentral.
AGUGGAUGGGGAGCAACCUAGUUGUGCGUGUGUAAAGGUAGUGCCAAGAAAAGCGGUGAUCAUGAUGAAAAUCAAUUCCCGGUACCCGAAACCGACACAGGUGGGCAAGUAGAGAAUACUAAGGGGCGCGAGGUAACUCUCUCCAAGGAACUCGGCAAAAUGACCCCGUAACUUAGGGAGAAGGGGUGCCACCGAGAGGUGGUCGCAGUGAAGAGGCCCAGGCGACUGCUUAGCAAAAACAUAGGUCUCUGCAAACUCGAAAGAGGAGGUAUAGGGGCUGACGCCUGCCCAGUGCCGGAAGGUUAAAGAAGUUGGUCAGUCUUAGGAUAAAGCUAGCGACUGAAGCCCCGGUGAACGGCGGCCGUAACUAUAACGGUCCUAAGGUAGCGAAAUUCCUUGUCGGGUAAGUUCCGACCCGCACGAAAGGCGUAACGAUCUGGGCGCUGCCUCGGAGAGAGGCUCGGCGAAAUAGGAUUGUCUGUGAAGAUACGGACUACCUGCAUUUGGACAGAAAGACCCUAUGAAGCUUUACUAUAGCUUGGAAUUGUGUUCGGGCUUCCUGUGCGCAGGAUAGGUGGGAGGCGAAGGAGGUAUUCUUGUGGGGAUACUGGAGCCAACGGUGAGAUACCACCCUCAGGAGGCUAGAAUUCUAACUUAAUUAAGGACAGUUUCAGGUGGGUAGUUUGACUGGGGCGGUCGCCUCCAAAAAGGUAACGGAGGCGUGCAAAGGUUCCCUCAGACUGGUUGGAAAUCAGUCGCAGAGUGCAAAGGCAGAAGGGAGCUUGACUGCGAGAAGUACAGUUCGAGCAGGGUGGAAACACGGUCUUAGUGAUCCGACGGUGCUGUGUGGAAGGGCCGUCGUUCAACGGAUAAAAGUUACUCUAGGGAUAGCAGGCUGAUCUCCCCCAAGAGUUCACAUCGACGGGGAGGUUUGGCACCUCGAUGUCGGCUCAUCGCAACCUGGGGCGGAAGUACGUCCCAAGGGUUGGGCUGUUCGCCCAUUAAAGCGGUACGUGAGCUGGGUUCAGAACGUCGUGAGACAGUUCGGUCCAUAUCCGAUGUAGGCGUGAGAAUAUUGAGAGGAGCCUUCCUUAGUACGAGAGGACCGGGAAGGACGCACCGCUGUGUACCUGUUAUGAUGCCAAUUGUAAACGCAGGGUAGCCAAGUGCGGAGAGGAUAACCGCUGAAAGCAUCUAAGUGGGAAGCCCACCUCAAGAUGAGUAUUUUGGUGUAAGGUCACGGGAAGACGACCCGUAAAUAGGCACGAGGUGGAAGUGCAGAGAUGUAUGAAGCCGAAGUGUACUAAUAGACCGUCGGCUUGAC